This 73-nucleotide transfer RNA is filed under the name Candidatus Iainarchaeum sp. Its description in RNAcentral is "tRNA-Pro". It matches the Rfam family "tRNA". From Rfam's summary of the family: Transfer RNA (tRNA) molecules are approximately 80 nucleotides in length. Lineage: Archaea; Nanobdellati; Candidatus Iainarchaeota; Candidatus Iainarchaeia; Candidatus Iainarchaeales; Candidatus Iainarchaeaceae. The record is from RNAcentral.
GGGGGGAUCGUCUAGUCUGGUAGGAUUGCACCUUCGGGAGGUGCAGGCGAGAGUUCAAAUCUCUCUCCCCCCG